CCUACGUGGGGCUGCAGUGAGGAAUAUUGGUCAAUGGGCGCGAGCCUGAACCAGCCAAGUAGCGUGAAGGAUGACUGCCCUACGGGUUGUAAACUUCUUUUAUAAAGGAAUCAAGUGAGGCACGUGUGCCUUUUUGUAUGUACUUUAUGAAUAAGGAUCGGCUAACUCCGUGCCAGCAGCCGCGGGAAUACGGAGGAUCCGAGCGUUAUCCGGAUUUAUUGGGUUUAAAGGGAGCGUAGAUGGGUUGUUAAGUCAGUUGUGAAAGUUUGCGGCUCAACCGUAAAAUUGCAAUUGAUACUGGCAGUCUUGAGUACAGUUGAGGUAGGCGGAAUUCGUGGUGUAGCGGUGAAAUGCUUAGAUAUCACGAAGAACUCCGAUUGCGAAGGCAGCUUACUAAACUGCCACUGACAUUGAUGCUCGAAAGUGUGGGUAUCAAACAGGAUUAGAUACCCUUGUAGUC
RNAcentral lists this ribosomal RNA (460 nucleotides) under uncultured bacterium. RNAcentral's name for it is "partial 16S ribosomal RNA". It matches the Rfam family "Bacterial small subunit ribosomal RNA", at positions 338 to 795 of the family's 1533-position model. The record is from RNAcentral.